GAUGAACGCUGGCGGCGUGCUUAACACAUGCAAGUCGAACGGAGUGCCUUUGAAAGAGGAUUCGUCCAAUUGAUAAGGUUACUUAGUGGCGGACGGGUGAGUAACGCGUGAGGAACCUGCCCUGGAGUGGGGGACAACAGUUGGAAACGACUGCUAAUACCGCAUAAGCCCACAGUGCCGCAUGGCACAGCGGGAAAAGGAUUUAUUCGCUUCAGGAUGGACUCGCGUCCAAUUAGCUAGUUGGUGAGGUAACGGCCCACCAAGGCGACGAUUGGUAGCCGGACUGAGAGGUUGAACGGCCACAUUGGGACUGAGACACGGCCCAGACUCCUACGGGAGGCAGCAGUGGGGGAUAUUGCACAAUGGGGGAAACCCUGAUGCAGCGACGCCGCGUGGAGGAAGAAGGUUUCGGAUUGUAAACUCCUGUCGUUAGGGACGAUAAUGACGAUACCUAACAAGAAAGCACCGGCUAACUACGUGCCAGCAGCCGCAGUAAC
RNAcentral lists this ribosomal RNA (497 nucleotides) under uncultured bacterium. RNAcentral describes it as "bacterial SSU rRNA". It matches the Rfam family "Bacterial small subunit ribosomal RNA", at positions 28 to 524 of the family's 1533-position model. The record is from RNAcentral.